GGACUUGUUCGCACCUUCCUUAGAGCAGGCGACUCAUAAUCGCUUGGUCGCUGGUUCAAGUCCAGCAAGGGCCACCA
Molecule: transfer RNA, 77 nt
Filed under: Escherichia coli
Lineage: Bacteria; Pseudomonadati; Pseudomonadota; Gammaproteobacteria; Enterobacterales; Enterobacteriaceae
Description: tRNA-Met
Rfam family: tRNA
About the family: Transfer RNA (tRNA) molecules are approximately 80 nucleotides in length. Their secondary structure includes four short double-helical elements and three loops (D, anti-codon, and T loops).
Source: RNAcentral